Molecule: non-coding RNA, 2961 nt
Organism: Corythoichthys intestinalis (scribbled pipefish)
Lineage: Eukaryota; Metazoa; Chordata; Actinopteri; Syngnathiformes; Syngnathidae
Source: the annotation of a RefSeq genome assembly
GUCUGCGAUUUCUGCAUCGCGACCCUUGUUAUAUUACCAUGUUUCACCCAUAAAACCCCCCAAAAAUCCAGCUGUGGCCAUUCACAGCUGUGUCUUGAGACUCAGUGAUACAUGCUACAUGGAGUUUUUGGAUCGAAACAAGGCAUAAGCGGUGAUGAGCUGGUGGCUGUCAUGGAAGAAGUGAUGGUGUCAAAAGGCAUGCGAGUGACUCUGUCAUACGACUACAACCAACAAGCUACUGCUUCAGAUUAUUUCUUCUGGUACCAACAAGUUCCUGGACGAACACCACAAUUCCUGCUUUCCCACCUGGGAACCGGUAGCCCGCUUUCUGCCAUGGAGGGAAUGUCAGCGAGCGUGGCAGACAGGCGAGUGCAGCUGCACAUCGAGGCUGUUGCUCUUGAGCACUCUGCAGUAUACUAUUGUGCUGUGAAGACCACAGUGAUGCAUGCACCACAUUAUCAUUACAAGAACGUUUUCUUUUCCUCAACCUUUUCACACCCCCUCUUCCUUAGAAGGACAAAUCACAGAUUUAUCUAAACUUUAAAUAUGUAUCUGGAAAAAUUCAAAAUUCUCCAAUAUUUAUAAAAUGGAAGGAUGCUAUACAAUGAUAUCCAAAAAACAUGAAAGUCUAUUCAGUAGCUCCUUCAGGACUUCACAGUAAUUGGAAUACAAAAACAAGCAUAUACAAGUUCCAGGGGAUAUUCACGAAAAUACGGGAUGGUUUUGCAAUCUAGCUUUGCAGGUAAUGUAAUGCAAAGCUACCACCAUAUACCAUAAAAAAAGUAAAAUUUCAAAACGCUAAUUGUCCUACCGUUUUUAUACGAUUCACAUAAUUUACACAUCAAAAAAUUCAGGUAGGAAUUCAGAAAGCUUAGUUUAUUUUAACACAAUAGUUUAUAUUAACACUAGUUUAUUUUAAACUUAAACUUUAAAGUGCGUACGACAGGAGAAAAAAAGUCUUAAAUAGGAUUAUUAUGUGAAUUAGAAUCAUAUUUUGAGACAAUUCGACUAUAUAUAACAAUUUAGCAAAGCGCAGAUGACAAGAAAUUAGUCUUUUAAACUGGCAGUUAGCCACGCCUACCGUUAUAGGGCUCUAGCAUCCCCAAUGGUGGAUGACCUCAGCAGUCACGAUUUCAUCUGAUAUAGUAUGCAGCCCAUUGAGGGGUUAUUAUUUACAACGAGGAAAACGUGACGAAGAGAGACGCAAAAUGUCAUUGUUUCAGUCUCUCUACUCCAAUAUUUUUACAGGAUAUUCUUUUUAUCCAAGUAUUUUUCCCCAAUAGCUACAUAAAUGGCUUGAAAAGGACAAGUCAGCCCGUUGAGGGGGAAUUAUUCAGAACGAGGAAAACGUGACGAAGAGAGCCGCAAAAUGUCAUUGUUUCAGUCUCUCUACUCCAAUAUUUUUACAGGAUAUUCUUUUUAUCCAAGUAUUUCCUCCAAUAGCUAAAUAAAUGGCAUAGGCAUGACAAAUAACAGUCUUGUGCUAAAUGGAAUAUGAAAUAAGAAAAAUGCAUUUAUUCAAGACGACAUGGCAAAAUUACUCCAUACUGGUCAAAACUGUCGACUUCACCUUUACUGUCGCACUUCCCGAAUGAUAUUUUAUGCCACCUAAAUCAGGCUUAUGUCAUUUCCCUUCCCCGGCUUCGGAGAAUGUAAACAAACCAAGAGGCGUGACAGCUAGCCAACAUGCAACCCGAACCGAGUGAUGUUUCAAAGUCUUCGAAGCGGAAAAUCACACAUAACUAGCCUGGAACAUUUCACAUGACGACUGGGUUGUCGAUUAUCUUUGCCAAUCGACAAACCGCCCGGCAGGAGCAAUUUACAGCUCGUUCCCCCGGCUACAACGGACAGCAGAGCUCGCCGGGGAAGCAGCUAAACAAUGACCGCUGAACAAACCGGCCGAUGUCGGAGGAACGGGUAGCUGCCAAAUGGUCAACACGAAUAUGGCAAAAUAAUGAUAGAUGAAUGAAUAGAUGUCAUGGAAAUGUAUAAUCACAUUGUGUCAGCACUACAUGCUGCCAGUAAACCCCUUAGUACACAUAGAAGGAGGAGUAGAAUUAGGCCUGGCUGGAACACUUAAGUCGCUGAAUUUUUCUGCAGAAGCCUGUGAAGCUACCAAGGCUUGGGCUUCGGCAGGUAGACCCAGGCAGGGCCCCAUAUUUGAAUAUAAGAAGUGUACGAAUGCAAAAUAUAAAUAUGCUCUACGGUACAUCAUAAAGAACAAACAAACAUUGAGGGCUGACUCCAUGGCCAAGAUGUUAUUUUGUAACAACACUAAAGCCUUUUGGAAGGAGGUGAGGCUUGCUACUAAUUGCAAACCCUGCUUACCUUGCUCGAUUGAUGGCUUCUCGGGUGCUAAUGCAAUUGCUGCUUUUUGGCAACAGCAUUACGAAAAUCUUUUUAACUGUGUACCAACUGAACACUAUCAAGUGGGCAAUGUCGAAAAGGUGUGCACAAUUAAGACCCAUGAGGUGUUUCAUGUCAUUAAAAACUUAUCAAGUAAUAGGUCCACAGGUAUGGAUUCUAUAUCUGCCGAACAUCUUUAUGCAUGCUAGUCCGAGGCUAGUUCCACUUCUUGCACUCUGCUUUACUUCCUUUAUGGUUCACGGCUGUCUUCCCGACUCUAUGAAGUCGGUGAUGCUGGUGCCUGUCAUCUCGGAUAAAGCAGGGAAAGUAAGCAGCUUGGACAAUUACAGACCUAUCGCCCUUGCUAGUGUUCUUUCUCAGGUAUUUGAAGUCUUCAUGCUGGAGAGAGUUCACACAUUAAUAAGCUCUUCAGAUAAUCAGUUUGGCUUUAAACCUAGUCAUGGCACAGACAUGUGUAUUUAUGUUUUAAAAGAAUUGGUCAACACCUAUUUGAGGAAAAACUCGUCUAUGUUUAUGUGUUUUCUAGACGCUUCCAAAGCCUUUGAUCGUGUAAACCACGGGAAGUUGUUUAGGAAAUUAAGCCAAGCGGGAGUU